GGUACACGAGCGGCGAACGGGUGAGUAACACGUGGGUGACCUGCCUUCAGCUCUGGGAUAAGCUUGGGAAACUGGGUCUAAUAUCGGAUAUGACUGUCUGCCGCAUGGUGGGUGGUGGAAAGUUCUUGGGCUUUGGUCUGGGUUCGGCUGGGGAUGGGCCUGCGGCCUAUCAGCUUGUUGGUGGGGUGAUGGCCUACCAAGGCGACGACGGGUAGCCGGCCUGAGAGGGCGACCGGCCACACUGGGACUGAGACACGGCCCAGACUCCUACGGGAGGCAGCAGUGGGGAAUAUUGCGCAAUGGGCGGAAGCCUGACGCAGCGACGCCGCGUGGGGGAUGACGGCCUUCGGGUUGUAAACCUCUUUCGCCAUCGACGAAGGUUCUGUGGUUGUGAGGCUGCAGGGUUGACGGUAGGUGGAGAAGAAGCGCCGGCCAACUACGUGCCAGCAGCCGCGGUAAUACGUAGGGUGCGAGCGUUGUCCGGAAUUAUUGGACGUAAAGAGCUCGUAGGCGGUGUGUCGCGUCGGCCGUGAAAACCUGCAGCUUAACUGUGGGCGUGCGGUCGAUACGGGCAUCACUGGAGUUCGGCAGGGGAGACUGGAAUUCCUGGUGUAGCGGUGAAAUGCGCAGAUAUCAGGAGGAACACCGGU
Molecule: ribosomal RNA, 650 nt
Filed under: uncultured bacterium
Lineage: Bacteria
Description: bacterial SSU rRNA
Rfam family: Bacterial small subunit ribosomal RNA
Source: RNAcentral